Long non-coding RNA from Vulpes vulpes (red fox), 2739 nucleotides. Lineage: Eukaryota; Metazoa; Chordata; Mammalia; Carnivora; Canidae. The record is from Ensembl.
UAUCCCCUCCCGCCGCCCGCCCUCCGACCUUCUCCCGGCCGCCUCGGCCCCUGGACGCCGGGCCCAGCUGGUGACGCCGGGAGGGCCGUCCCCUCCACCCCGCCCGCCCCGCUCGGCCUUCCCUGGCUCUCCUCGGUUUCUCAGGGCCGCGGCGGCUCGGCCCGCGCACGUCCCCGUGGGCCCCAGGACGGGAACCGCGAGCGGUCGCUGCCCGCACGGUUGGCGCGGACUCUGCCAGACCGAAGCCCGGGGUCCCGCGCGCCCGCAGCGCCCCUGAGACUCGUCGCGGGACGAAGCCACCGGCCCCCGGCUCCGGCUCCGGCUCCGGAUCCCGCCCCGACGACCUGACCCCGCGGCGAGCGCCUCCCGCAGGCCCUCCCGUGCGCACCGCACACUGCCCGGGAUGGAGCCGCCAGGCGGGCGGCGGAGGACCCCCCGCGCCCCAGCAGCCGCCGCCGGGCCCCUGGCCACCCUCUGCGCGCAGGCUCCCUGGCCUCCGAACAUCUUGGAUUAUUUCUAAAAGAACCCUGGAAAGCUCUGCAUCCCCUCACCCAUGUUGGAAGAAGGGCAAAUGUGAAGAAGAGGUGAGAAGGGAGAAGAUUGGACCCAUACCUGACCCCUUGACAGCUGGCACCUUCCCAGGGAGGUAAGUUCUUGGAAGAGGACACAGAAAUAUUCAGGUUCUAGAAAUCCAUUCCCUUCAAGCUGGGGUCAGCAAACCUUUUCUGUAAAGGACCAGAUAGUAAAUAUUUUAGGCUUUUCCAUAUGGCCUCUGUCCCAGCUCUUUAACUCUGCCCUUAUAGCACAAAAACUGCCACAGACAAUAUGUAAACUAAGGAGUGUGGCUGUGUUCCAGUAAAACUUUAUUCAUGAACACUUACAUUUGAAUUUCAUAUAAUUUUUACGUGUCCCAAAGUAUUACUCCUCUUUUGACCUCCCCCCAUUAUUUAAAACUGUAAAAUCCAUCCCAGCUCCUGGGGUAGUAAAAGGAGGCCAGAUUUGGGCCACAGGCUAAUCUUUGCCCCAAAGCAUCCAUGGAGGCAUGCCCCUUGAGAAUGUGUAUAUUCUAGUUUGAACUCGUGAUCCUGGUUUUCAACUCUAGCUACAUAUGAGAAUAACGAGAUGCUUGCUUUAUUUAUUUUUAAAUUUCAGUUUAAACUAUUAUUAGUUUCAGGGGUAGAAUUUAGUGAUUCAUCAGUUGCAUAUAACACCCAGUGCUUAUUACCAUCAAGUGCCCUCCUUAAUGCCUGUCACCCAGUUACCCCAUCGCCCCACCCACCUCCCCUCCAGCAACCCUCAGUUUAUUUCCCAGAAUGAAGUGUCUCUUAUGGUUUGACUGCCUCUCUAUUUUCAUCUUAUGUUAUUUUUCCUUCCCUUCCCCUAUAUUCAUCUGUUUUGUUUCUUAAAUUCCACAUGUGAGUGAAAUCAUAUGGUAUUUGUCUUUCUCUGACUGAUUAAUCAUGCUUAGCACGAUUAGAUCAUGCUUAGCAUGAUACCCUCUAGUUCCACCCAUGUUGUUGCAAAUGGCAAAAUUUCAUUCUUUUUGAUGGCUGAGUAAUAUUUCAUUGUGUAUAAAUACCACAUCUUUUCCCAUUCAUCUGUUGAUGGACAUCUGGGCUCUUUCCACAGUUUGGCUAUUGUGGACUAUAUAACAUUGUGGACUAUAACAUUGUGGACUAUAACAUUGUGGACUAUUGUGGCUAUUGUGGACUAUAACAUUGUGGACUGCUAUUAACAUUGGGGUGCAGGUGCCCCUUCGAAUCACUAUGUUUGUAUCCUUUGGAUAAAUACCCAGUAGUGCAAUUGCUGGGUUGUAGGAUAGCUCUAUUUCUAACUUCUUGAGGAACCUCCACACUGUUUUCCAGAGUGGCCGCACCAGCUUGAAUUCUCACCAACAGUGUCAGAGGGUUCCCCUUUCUUCACAUCCUCUCCAACUGUUGUUUCCUGAAGUGUUCGUUUUAGCCAUUCUGACAGGCGUAAGAUGGUAUCUCAUUGUGGUUUUGAUUUACUUCUCUGACGAUGAGUGAUGUUGAGCACUUUUUCCUAUGUCUGUUGGCCAUAUGUAUGUCUUUGGAGAAAUGUCUGUUUGUGUCUUCCGCCCCUUUCUUGACUGGGUUUUUAUUUUUGGAGUGUAGAGUUUGAGAAAUUCUUUAUAGAUCUUGGAUACUAACCCUUUAUGUGAUAUGUUAUUUGCAAAUAUCUUCUCAUGUUCUGUUAGACUGCCUUUUGGUUUUGUCGGCUGUUUCCCUUGCUGUGAAAGCUUUUUAUCUUGAUGAAGUCUCAAUAGUUCAUUUUUACUUUUGUUUCCCUUGCUGCAUAAGGUGCUUUAAGAAAUACCAAUACCCAGCCCCACCCUCUCCAUACUGAUUUAGUUGGUCUGGGUGGAGUCCAGGCAUAAGCUUCUUCUUCUUCUUUUUUUUUUUUUUUCCCUUUAAGAGUUUCUCAGGCAAUUUUAAUGUUGCAGCUUGACUUAGGUCACUAUUCUGAUUGCCAUAGGCUGUGCCACAGCUCUCAGGGCAUGAUGCUGCUCUGUGCCAUGGUUACUGCAUUUCAUCCAGUGGAAAGCAUCACCAGCAUAACAUAAAGUGCAACCUGAAAGAUUAUAAAAUGUAAGGGCACCUGGCUGGCUCAGGGGGAGGAGCAUGUGACUCUUGAUCUUGGGAUCUUGAGAUUAAGCCCCACGGUGAGUAUAGAGACUACUUAAAUAAACAAAUAAAUCAAUAAAUAAAUAUAAAAAAA